UUCUUUAUAGGUUAUUUAAUCACUAAUCUCAAUGAAUAUUUUAUCUAAAUUUAGGAGACAUAGUAGCUUCAUUAUUUAUAACCCAGUAGUCAUGUUUCAAAAUCAUUAUUGCAAUUACUUUUUGCUUCUUUACAUAAUUAAAGCUCUAAUAUUCCAUCUUGCCCAGAAGGUCACUACUAAAACUCGAGACAAGAUAAUUGCUGAAAUUUUAGGUGGGUGCUUAAGGUACAUCGAGGGUCCUGGUGGUGACCCUAGCCAGAGCAUACCUGGCAGGGGAAGUGUUACCACCACUGCUGGGAGCAGGGGAGCCAGAGGCAAAACCAGAGUCCAAAUCCUGGGUGAGUGGCCAGAUGCUCAGGGCGCCAUCCUCUCGAAGAUAAAGGCCAGCCCUGGAGGGGUUUGCAAAGGUGGAAGUGAAGGGGCCGAGGGACUGGAAGGCAGCCUGGUGCACCCCAUCGGCAGGGGUCGCUGACAAGUCUGAUGAAGAGCGGGAAGAGCUGGGUUCUGCGGACCCCAGGGGAGGAGCUGUGCGACACAGCCGUGAAGCAUUCUGCACAGGCUUUCCGCAUGCCCCAAACAGCAUCAGAGCAGAGCUCAAAGAACUUUGGGAUCAAGGGGCUACGGUCUACAAGGCAGUAUUACAAACAAUUACUCUGGGACCCAACAAGUCCAGACCACACAUAAAGAUCAGGAAUCUUAAGCUUUCAAGUUAGAAAUGAAAUAUGAAGUAGCACAUAAAUAAUUCCUAGUUCAAAUUUCACUUUUGUUUACAUUUGAAAAACAAAAAAGCUACUAACUCCAUUUAUGAAAGCUUCGCAUGAUGCAGAAAAACAAAGCUUUCUGAACAAAACAGUUUCUAAUAAUAACUUCAAGUUGUCUUGGCCCAGUGUAAAAUAUGAAAUAAACCAGUAUUGA
Molecule: long non-coding RNA, 915 nt
Filed under: Homo sapiens (human)
Lineage: Eukaryota; Metazoa; Chordata; Mammalia; Primates; Hominidae
Description: non-protein coding lnc-RAB22A-1:1
Source: RNAcentral